UUCUUGUGAAUCACCCACAGCGAUUCCCGAAGGGUUGUCCCCAGCCUCAAGCCUCUCUGCACCGUAACUGUGCUUCUUAUCCUCAGAUACCUGCCUUGCAUUGGCCCUGGGUAAAUGUUUCUCUUGGCUGUGAAUAGGCAAUUAAAAUUCUGAGCCUUUUAUGGCUCUGGAUGCUUAUCCCAUGGCACAAUACUCAUCCAGGCGGAUGGCCCACCAACGCAAAGAAAGAAACAAACAGAAAAACCCAACACAACAGUGAAUGAAUUGCAUCGUUAGGCAGAGAUGAUGAGCCAUAGAAACUUGAACAUCAGCCGAGAGGUGCAGUCAACUCUAGGAGGAACUAAGGGAGGGUGUCCACUAGCUUCUUCAGCUGAGCCACUGCCUCACUCGUGUCUUGAUCGGGGCUGAAAAUUCCCAUGGCAGCCUCAAAACUGGAGGGUGUGUCCAGGAACAGGGAUUCAAUGAUGCGCAGAAAGGUGGGGCAGAUCUUUGCGGAAGCUGCAACACAGAGAAGAGAAGGCAUAUGUCUCCAGGCCCCUUUCCAAGCUGGCUAGCUCUCUGGCUGGAUCUGCCCAGAUGCAAACAGCCAGGCCCAUCAAGCACCCUUUUCAUCGAUGGGCUAGAGUGUGGGAUCUGCUGGUGCUCCAAGACGUUGCCUAUCUGGCGCUGUGCGAAUACUUUCUGGAUUAUGGCCAGCUUUUUGUGGAUUGCCCGAGUCUUCCUUGGAUUUCUUGGGUUGAGGGCUGAGGCUGCUGUAAGCCAAGGUACGCAACGCUUGCUAAACAGGAAUCCCUGGAAUUAAUCCAUGCAUGAGGCCUUUGUGCCAUGGGACAGCUGAAGGCCAUGGUGACCCCUGAACCGUCCCACUCAGAGACGCCUUAACUCUGGUUUUCUUCUGUGUCCUAUCAUCUGGGCUCUUGAAUCUAGCCUAUCUUGAGGACUUCAGGGUCUGCAUCCCUCCCCUCUUCGGGACUGUUGAACAGUGUACCUGCCUGCAAUCCCAGCACUUUGGGAGGCCGAGGAGGGCAGAUCACCUGAGGUUGGGAGUUCGAGACCAGCCUGGCCAACAUGGCGAA
Long non-coding RNA from Rhinopithecus roxellana (golden snub-nosed monkey), 1076 nucleotides. RefSeq lists it as uncharacterized. NCBI's taxonomy places the organism in Eukaryota, Metazoa, Chordata, Mammalia, Primates, Cercopithecidae. The transcript has 5 exons. The record is from RefSeq and is a predicted model, not a curated record.